GGGCCCGCACAAGCGGCGGAGCAUGCGGAUUAAUUCGAUGCAACGCGAAGAACCUUACCAAGGCUUGACAUAUAGAGGAAAAGUGCAGAAAUGCACUCCCCGCAAGGUCUCUAUACAGGUGGUGCAUGGUUGUCGUCAGCUCGUGUCGUGAGAUGUUGGGUUAAGUCCCGCAACGAGCGCAACCCUCGUCCUAUGUUGCCAGCACGUAAUGGUGGGAACUCAUGGGAUACUGCCGGGGUCAACUCGGAGGAAGGUGGGGAUGACGUCAAAUCAUCAUGCCCCUUAUGUCUUGGGCUUCACGCAUGCUACAAUGGCCGGUACAGAGGGCUGCAAUACCGUAAGGUGGAGCGAAUCCCAAAAAGCCGGUCUCAGUUCGGAUUGAGGUCUGCAACUCGACCUCAUGAAGUCGGAGUCGCUAGUAAUCG
This 425-nucleotide ribosomal RNA is filed under the name uncultured bacterium. RNAcentral's name for it is "bacterial SSU rRNA". It matches the Rfam family "Bacterial small subunit ribosomal RNA", at positions 917 to 1344 of the family's 1533-position model. The record is from RNAcentral.